RNAcentral lists this long non-coding RNA (6066 nucleotides) under Homo sapiens (human). RNAcentral describes it as "HSALNT0353991". The record is from RNAcentral. Lineage: Eukaryota; Metazoa; Chordata; Mammalia; Primates; Hominidae.
AUCGUCGUCCUCAUCCCCUUCUACAUCUUCAUCUUCAUCAUCUUCUUCAUCAAACUCCUCUUCUUCACCAUCCUCAUCGUCCUCGUCUUCCUCAUCUUCUCCUUCUAAAAAUAGUCCAAAAGGGAUUCAUUAAAUAUCCUCGACGCUCCACAGGGGACAAAGUGUUGAGGAUCUGUGGGCUGGCUCACAGAACAAAUGCUGUAAGGCCACGAACUGCAGUCACUUUCUUUCUACUAUGUGCUACAGCUCAGUCCCUUUGUCCGAUAGAGUCCCAUAAAAUCAGAGAGCUAGAAGUCCUGGUAGAUAAGACAAACACUAUAAUUCUCGCUGAUGAAAUGAUACAAUGGCUAAGAUUUGCUUCAAAAUUAUAUGGAGUGGGGAAGAAGGUAAGGGUAUGCAGGAAUAAAAUAAGAUCAGCUAUGACCAAUAAUUGCUGAAGCUGAGUGAUAAGAACAUGGGGGUUCAUUUUGCUAUUAUUUUUACCCUUUGUCACUGUCUGAAAUUUUUGACAGUAAAAAGUUAAAAAAAAAAAAAUCAUGUACCUUCUCUUGGGUAUCAUUACCAGAGUCACAGUCAGCUGCUCAAAUCAGGAACCUGAGAAACACCCAUAAUAACCCUGUGACUCAGGGGACAGGAGGCUGAGAGGCACCUGCAUCUCUAGCUGGUUGUUCGGACCUCUAGUGCGGCAGUUCUUGCUUCUCCUGGGUCCUAGAGCACACCAUGCUCUCACCUGCCUCCUGGUCUCUGCAUGCUCUUUCCAUCCUCUUUGCUUGGCUAACUCUGACUCCACCUUGGAGUCUCAGUCAACAUCACUUCCUUAGGCAGUCUUACUCACCAGACCUCCCAAUGCCAGGUCAUAGGCUCUCACCAUGAGUAUGUGGUGCUUCUCCAUUACAACACACUUUGCUUACUUGCAAUUAUUAUUUAGAAUUCUUAAUUUAAAACAAUUUUUUCUGUACAGAUAGGGUUUGUCUAUGUUGCCCAGGCUGGUCUUGAACUCCUGGAUUCCAGCAAUCAUCCUGCCUCACCCUCCCCAAGUGUUGGGAUUACAAGUGUGAGCCACCAUACCUAGCCUAUUUAUGAUUUAAAAAAAAAAAACAAAAAAAAAAAAACACCAUUUCUCUGUAAGGUCCAAGAGGGUAGGAACCUUGUUUUUUUGUUCCUUUUUUUUUUAAACCACUAUUUUCCGCAGUGCCUGGCACAUAGGAAAUGCUCAAGUAUUUGUUGGCUGACCCAUCUUUGCUCUCAGGAACUGCCCCCCACCUUCCAAGGAAUGUCCUUUACUGGCUCUUGCACAUGUGGCUGUUCUUCCUGUUUGAGGUGAACUUAAAUAGACAACAAGCACAAAUGGUUUUUAGGAAAAAUGGAAAAACUGUAGAAGGGACAAAGGGACAUAACAUUUGGAAAUAAGUGAGAUGUCCUAUUCUCUGUCCAUUUUACCACCUUAUAACUCAUUAAUUUUUGCCUGUCUCAAUAUGCUUCAAAAUAAAACUGUAAAAAUGCUUCCAGAGAAUUAUACCAUUAACUGCACCCAAACUCCUUGAUGCUUUUCCUCCUCUAUUUUCUUGAUAAUUUCUGUCAUAUGUGCUAAUUUUUAAAGAAAAGAAAUACUCAUGCUGACUGAUGUGAAAACUAAUCAUUCUGCUUCCUCCAAACCAGGGGUUCCCAACUCCCAGGACUGGUACUGGUCUGUGGCCUGGGCCGCACAGCAGGUGGUGAAGAGCAGGCCAGUGACCAUUACCACGUGAACUCCGCCUCCUGUCACAUCACCUGUUAGAUCCUCAUAGGAGUGCAAAUUCUAUUGUGAACUGCGCAUGUGAGGGAUCUGGACUGUGCAUUCCUUAUGAGAAUCUAAUGCCUGAUCUAAGGUGGAACCGUUUCAUCCCAAAACCAUUCAGCUGCCGCCCCCAACCCCUUCCCUGCAUCUGUGGAAAAACUGUCUUCCAUGAAACCAGUCCCUGGUGCCAAAAAGGUUGGAGACUGCUGCUCUAAGCCACCUGUACGUGAGAAGCGUUUUAUUCUAAGAGUGACUGAGAAUAAACAAACUCAGCAUGCAAAGAAAACACAAACUAAUCAGGAGGAAUAUCUUGGGUAGAAAGUAUUAGUUAUUUCUUAAAAUCUGUAAAUCUGUAAAAUAUGUAUAAAUCCUGGGUCAAAUGCCAAAACUACUGAAAAUCAUCUUUUAAUUCUAUGUUAUGAUCAGAGAUUAUUUCCCUUAUGAAUGAAAAACGGAAUCUAACAUAUAGUUAUUUGAAAUCAUUACCUUUUAAAACUCUGGUCAUAUGUCAAUGGAAGGGAAAGCUAUUUUAUUUAUAGCUGGCAAUAACAAACAGGUACCAAGUACCUACUCAGUGUCAGGCCCUGUGAAUCAGGAGAUAAGUAUCUACCCAAGAUGAUGACUGUAGUGCAGUAGGACAGCGGUCCUCAACCUUUUUGGCACCAGGGACCAGUUUUGUGGAAGACAAUGUUUCCACAGCCUGGGGGUGGGGGGAUGGUUUCAGGAUGAUUCAAACGCAUUAUGUUUAUUCUGCACUUUAUUUCUAUUAUUACAUUGUAAUAUAUAAUGAUAUAAUUAUACAACUCAUCAUAAUGUGGAAUCAAUGGGAACCCUGAGCUUGUUUUCCCUGCAACUAGACAGUCCCAUCUGGGGGCAAUGAGAGACAGUGACAUUCGAAGUGUGUGCUGCUUAUGUCCAGUAUACUCCAUAAUCUUGUUUUGGUUGCUGUCACUGCAGAAAACUUUGCUUCACAAAGAUAGGAUAUUGGAAAUGGAAGCAGGUUUUUCAGUGCUUUUUUGGCAAUCUCAGGAUAUUCCACCUCGACUUUAAUCCAGAAUAUAUGGAGAUUUUGAAGUUGUCUCAAACCAUACUUUUAAGGCCACUGCCAUUUGUGAUCUCAACCAGUUGAUCCUCUUCAAGCAUGAACAAAGUCGAUUGACCUGGCUUAUUCAUAAAUGGGUUGUGGAUCCAUUCCUUCCCAGUUCGGGGGUCUUUUGUGGUUGGGAAGUAAUGCUCAAACUCUUUUGAGAGCUGAGAUAGGUGAUCAUGCACCAGCUGUGAGAAAGAAGGCCCUGGCUCACUCUCUUUCAAAAAUCACUCCUACUGUUUGAAACAUGUCAAAAAUCCCAAUGCUCAGAACAGAAAACUAAGUAUCGUAUGUUCUCACUUGUAAGUGGGGGCUGAAUGAUGAGUAUACAUGGACACAUGGAGGGGAACAACACACACUGGGGCCUGUGGAGGCUGGGGACGGAGAGCAUCAGGAAAACUAGCUAAUGGACAGUGGGCUUAAUACUUAGGUGAUGGGAUGGUACACGUUUAUCUCUGCGACAAACGUGCACAUGUACCCCUGAACUUAAAAAAAAAAGUUUUACCACUCAUUCUGUGUUACUAAAAUGUUCUGCUAGUGGUGACUGUUAUUCUUAGAGAAAUCUCUGGAGCAGGCCUCUUAACUCAAAAACUCUGGCCAGUGAUCCACCUUUAGAACGCCAUCUCGCUUCUCUGUGUAAGAGAAGUAUUCUCUGCAUCCAUCUCACAGAACUGCGUGAACAGACAUGGGUUAAGGGCAUGUACUUUAAUGUGGUUAAUUUUAAUCACAUCCUGCAAAACGUUAAGUUCAGGUGACAUUUGUCAGCUAGCCAGCAUUUCUCUAUGGAUGACACAGUGCAUAGACUCACAUCCAGAAGCGACCUCUCUGACUCGAGUAGUGAAACCAGAAAGCCGUCCAGCCAUGGCAGCCGCUCCAUCUGUGCAUAUACGACACAAAAUGACCAAUUCAGUUUUCCUGAUAUGUAAUCGUUCAAAAGACUUGAAUAGUUCUGCAGCUGUGGUGCUGGUUGGCAACGAAGUACACAUAACAUAGUCUCAUGCACAUCCUCCUGAAAAUAUAUUGCACAAAAACAAGCAUUGUUGCCAUGUUGUCAACAUCGGCAGACUUGUCAACCUGCAAUGUGUACCACGGUGACUCAUCAAUCCUCUCUAACAACUAUGCCUCAAUAUCCUCUACUAUGUCAUCAAUUCAUCUAGUUAUGGUGCUAGCUCAAAGAGGAACAUGUGCCACCUUUUGAACUGCAGCUUAACUGCAGCCUCUCCUAAAAGUUCAUGACAAAUGUCCUUAGCAGCAGGCAGGAUCAACUCUUCAAUAGUAAAGGGCUUCUUACUUUAGCAAUGCAGUUAGUUAAGGGCUUCUUAGCUUUAGCAAUGCAGUUAGCCACUAAGAAUGAGAUGUUCUCAGUGCAGUCACAUUUGAUGAAGUGGGAGCUUUCAAUAAUUGCCUCUGUUUUUCACGUUCAUGUUUAUUUCUUUUGAAAAACUCCAAAGGCUUGUCUUUUAAACGCAGGGUGCUUGGUCUCCAAGUGGUGAAGCAGUUUUUUUUUUGUUUGUUUGUUUUUUGAGAUGGAGUCUUGCUCUAUCGCCCAGGCUAAAGCACAGCGGCACAAUCUCGGCUCACUGCAACCUCCGCCUCCCAGGUUCAAGCAAUUCUCAUGCCUCAGCCUCCCGAGAAGCUGGGACUAAAGGUGUGCACCACCAUGCCUGGUUAAUUUUUGUAUUUUUGCAGAGCCAGGGUUUCCCCAUGUUGGCCAGGCUGGUCUUGAACUCCUGACCUCAGGUGAUCUACCUCGGCCUCUGUAAGUGCUGGGAUUACAGGCAUGAGCCACUGUGCCCAGCCAGUGAAGUGGUUUUGAAGGUUUCAUGGCUUUGUUGGAUAGCUUGUUGCCACAUAUUAUACAAAGUGGGCUUGGAGAAUGUGAAUCAUCUGUUGCAAUGAACCUGUAAUUUAAGUAGCACUCUUGGUAUUUUCUUUUCAAUGAAGCUUUCUUUUCAUUGGCAGUCUUGUCUUCUGCUGUCUCAUUAUUGGGUCUUUCCCCCUUCUCAAAGAAGCUCUCCAGCGACGUUUUUUACUCAUGUUGGAUAGUUAGCUUGUGGGCCUAACAAAACUGUGACUGAGACAAAUACGCAGUGCGGGAAAGAGGUGUGGAUGGAAGUGGUAAAUAAAAAAAUGGGCAGGCCAUGCACUGACUAAAAAAAGCAUCAGAUUCUGACUUAAAGCCUGUCACCAGAUACAGCUGUACAACUGAAGUACACCAACUCACUUGCCACUAUAAAGCCUGCCACCAGAUGCAGCUUGUCACUUGCCACUCACAGAUAGGGGUUGAUGAGUCUGCAAGCAAUUGAUUUAUUAUCAUCUCUGUAAAGUCAAACCUCUUUGCUAAUGUUAAUCUGUAUUUGCAGCCACUCCCCAGUGCUAGCAUCACCACCUCAGCUCUAGCAUCACCACCUCAGCUCCACCUCGGAUCAUCAGGCAUUAGAUUCUUCUAAGGAGCACACAACCUAGCCCCCUCACAUGUGCAGUUCACAAUAGGAUUCUCGUUCCUAUGAGAAUCUAAUACCACCAUUGAUCUGACAGGAGGUGGAGCCCAGACAGUAAUGUGAGCAAUGGGGAGUGGCUGUAAAUACAGAUGAGGCUUCCUCACUGCUCAUGCGGCCUGGUUUCUAACAGGUCAUGGAGUAGUACCAGUCUGUGGCCUGUGGGUUGAAGACCCCUGAAGUAGGAAGACUUAAGAACAGCAGAGUGGCAAGCCUGUAAGAGCAAGCGGUUUACAGUUUAAACGCACAGCAUCCUAACUUAGCUUGUAGACUUCAGGAAAUGCUUCCCGGGCCAGGUUCAGUGUCUCAUCCCUGUAAUCCCACCACUUGGGGAGGCUGAGGUGGGAGGAUCCCUUGAGGCCAGGUGCUUAUGAAAUAGGCCUUAGCUAUAAAUUUAAUGGAAUGCCUACAUUCAAAAAAUACACGCGUGCGCACGCACACAAACACACACUAUUUUCCUCAAUAGUAAGAACAUCUAGUAGCUUUUUUUUUUGAGACACCCUGUCUGUCUUCUGAGACGGAGUGCAGUGGGGAACAAUCAUGGCUCACUGUAGCCUCAAACUCCUAGGUUCAAGUGAUCCUCCCACCUCGGCCUCCAGUCUUCUGAGUAGCUAAGACUCCAGGUGUGCGCCACCACACCUGGCUAAUUUUUUUUUUUUCUAUUUUCUGUAGAAACAAGGUAUUGCCAUGUUGCCCAGGCUAGU